Molecule: ribosomal RNA, 501 nt
Filed under: uncultured bacterium
Lineage: Bacteria
Description: bacterial SSU rRNA
Rfam family: Bacterial small subunit ribosomal RNA
Source: RNAcentral
CAAGUCGAACGAGGUGGCCCAUUGAAGGAUGCGUGCUUGCACAAUCUGGAUUUGGAUUCCCACCUAGUGGCAGACGGGUGAGUAACACGUGGGUGACCUACCUUUAAGCUGGGGAUAACAGUUGGAAACGAUUGCUAAUACCGAAUAAUGUGUAACUAUCAAGGUUAUACUGAAAGGAGCCUUUAAAGCUUCACUUAGAGAUGGGCCUGCGGCGUAUUAACUAGUUGGUAGGGUAAUGGCCUACCAGGUAACGAUGCGUAGCCGAACUGAGAGGUUGAUCGGCCACACUGGGACUGAGACACGGCCCAGACUCCUACGGGAGACAGCAGUUAGGGAUAUUCGUCAAUGGGGGAAACCCUGAACGAGCAAUGCCGCGUGAAGUGAUGAAGGUCUUUGGAUUGUAAAACUCUGUUGUAUGGAAAAAACGACUAGGUUAGGAAAUGAACUUAGUGUGAUGGUACCAUACCAGAAAGCCCCGGCUAACUACGUGCCAGCCGCGGC